GGCCGGGUAGCGCAAUGGUAGCGCGUCAGACUUCGGAUCUGGAGGCUGUGGGUUCGAGUCCCACCUCGGUCG
This 72-nucleotide transfer RNA is filed under the name Homolaphlyctis polyrhiza JEL 142. Its description in RNAcentral is "tRNA-Arg (TCG) (tRNA-Arg-TCG-1-1)". It matches the Rfam family "tRNA". Rfam says of the family: Transfer RNA (tRNA) molecules are approximately 80 nucleotides in length. Lineage: Eukaryota; Fungi; Chytridiomycota; Chytridiomycetes; Rhizophydiales. The record is from RNAcentral.